RNAcentral lists this ribosomal RNA (336 nucleotides) under Carex nardina subsp. hepburnii. RNAcentral's name for it is "eukaryotic LSU rRNA". The record is from RNAcentral. Lineage: Eukaryota; Viridiplantae; Streptophyta; Magnoliopsida; Poales; Cyperaceae.
AAAAUGCGAUAUGUGGUGUGAAUUGCAGAAUCCCAUGAACCCUCCCUAGGGCACGCCUGCCUCAUGGGCGUUAGAAGCCCAUCCACGCUCGGUUGCCUCACGGUAAAGAUGCGGACAUUGGCCCUCCGAACCUCAAGGUGCGGUGGGCCUAAGUGUGCAGUCGUCGUAUGUGGUCGGGAGCGACGAGUGGUGGGCUACUGAGCACGUCACCCCGAGCUCCGUACCGACACAGGGCCUUGUUUGACCCCCUAACGAGGAGCAUGCCGUCGCGGCCUGUGCUGCGCGGCGCAUUUGGACCGAUGCCCUAGGUCAGACUGGGCUACCCAUUGAGUCUAA